AAAAAAGUUACUAAGAGCACAUGGUGAAUGCCUUGGCUCUCAAUGUCGAUGAAGGACGUGAUUACCUGCGAUAAGCUUCGGGUAGGUGGAAAUAACCUUUGAUCCGGAGAUCUCCGAAUAGGGAAACCUUUAGUAUUGAAGAUACUAAAUCAUAAUGAAGAUAACCCAGAGAACUGAAACAUCUAAGUACCUGGAGGAAAAGAAAACAACAGUGAUUCCCCAAGUAGUGGCGAGCGAACGGGGAACAGCCCAAACCAAUAAUGUUAAGGCAUUCUUGGGGUUGUAGGACUGCAACGUGGACUUUUAAUUGAAAAUGGAAGCUGUCUGGAAAGCAGCAUCAUAGAAGGUGAUAAUCCUGUACAUGAAUUCAAUUAGAUACCUAGCAGUAUCCUGAGUACCGCGGGGUCGGAGACGCCCUGCGGGAAUCCACCGGCACCAUCCGGUAAGGCUAAAUACAAUUGAGAGACCGAUAGCGAACAAGUACUGUGAAGGAAAGGUUAAAAGAACCGCGAACAGCGGAGUGAAAUAGAACCUGAAACCAUGUGCUUACAAGCGGUUGGAGUCCCGAUUUAUCGGGAUGACAGCGUGCCUUUUGCAUAAUGAGCCUACGAGUUACUCCUCUCUGGCAAGGUUAACCCCGUAAACGGGGGAAGCCGAAGCGAAAGCAAGUCUGAAUAGGGCGAAUAGUCAGAGGGGGUAGACGCGAAACCUUGUGAUCUACCCUUGGUCAGGAUGAAGUCUCGGUAACACGAGAUGGAGGUCCGAACUGGUAAACGUUGAAAAGUUUUCGGAUGAACUGAGGGUAGGGGUGAAAGGCUAAUCAAACUGGGAAAUAGCUCGUACUCCCCGAAAUGUUUUUAGGAACAGCCUCGAUUCAAUUGUCAUAGAGGUAGAGCUACUAAUUGGGCUAGGGGGCUUCACCGCCUACCAAACCCAGAUAAACUCCGAAUGCUAUUGACAUAUAAUCGGGAGUGAGGCUCCGGGUGCUAAGGUCCGGGGCCGAGAGGGAAACAACCCAGACCAUCAGCUAAGGUCCCUAAAUAUAUACUAAGUUGAUAAAACGUGGUCUGAUUGCUUUGACAGCUAGGAUGUUUGCUUGGAAGCAGCAAUUCAUUUAAAGAGUGCGUAACAGCUCACUAGUCGAGCGAUCGGGCGUGGAUAAUAAACGGGCAUUAAGUAUAUUACCGAAGCUAUGGGUCCAUAUGGACGGUAGGGGAGCAUUCCAACAACACAGAAGAUUUGGCGUAAGCUGGAUUGGAGUUCUUGGAAAAGCAAAUGUAGGCAUAAGUAACGAUAAUGCAGGUGAAAAACCUGCACACCGUAAGACUAAGGUUUCCUGAUCAAUGCUAAUCAGAUCAGGGUUAGUCGGGUCCUAAGGAUAAUCCGAAUGGAAAAGCCGAUGGAUAACUGGUUAAUAUUCCAGUACUGGCAAAUGUAGUGAUGGAACUACGAAGAAGUGAAAGAUCUGCGUACUGACGGAUAUGUACGUUAAAGCUCGUAGAUAUAGAUUGUAUAGGCAAAUCCAUACAAUCUGUCGAAAGUGAUAGUACCACAAGUCUUCGGACAAGUGGAUAAUGAUCCUAAUCAUGCUUCCGAGAAAAAUUCCUAAACUUAUACAUUUGCUACCCGUACCGUAAUCCGACACAGGUAGUCGAGGAGAGAAUCCUAAGGUGCUCGAGUGAAUCAUGGCUAAGGAACUCGGCAAAUUAACCCUGUAACUUCGGGAAAAAGGGUGCCCUGCGCAAGCAGGGCCGCAGUGAAAUGGCCCAGGCGACUGUUUAACAAAAACACAUGGCUUUGCUAAAUCGGAAGAUUACGUAUAAGGCCUGACACCUGCCCGGUGCUGGAAGGUUAAGAGGAGAUGUCAGAAGCAAUUCAAAGCAUUGAAUCGAAGCCCCAGUAAACGGCGGCCGUAACUAUAACGGUCCUAAGGUAGCGAAAUUCCUUGUC
This 1950-nucleotide ribosomal RNA is filed under the name Bacteroidia bacterium. RNAcentral describes it as "partial 23S ribosomal RNA". It matches the Rfam family "Bacterial large subunit ribosomal RNA", at positions 1 to 1973 of the family's 2925-position model. The record is from RNAcentral. Lineage: Bacteria; Pseudomonadati; Bacteroidota; Bacteroidia.